UACGAGGGGGGCAAGCGUUGUUCGGAAUUAUUGGGCGUAAAGGGCGCGUAGGCGGUUUGACAAGUCUGAUGUGAAAUCUAUGGGCUCAACCCAUAGCCUGCAUUAGAAACUGUCGGGCUUGAGUAUGGGAGAGGUGAGUGGAAUUUACGGUGUAGCAGUGAAAUGCGUAGAGAUCGUAAGGAAGACCAGUGGCGAAGGCGAGUCUCUGGAAAGCUGCUGACGCUGAGGCACGAAGGCCAGGGGAGCAAACGGG
Molecule: ribosomal RNA, 253 nt
Filed under: uncultured bacterium
Lineage: Bacteria
Description: partial 16S ribosomal RNA
Rfam family: Bacterial small subunit ribosomal RNA
Source: RNAcentral